Molecule: non-coding RNA, 371 nt
Organism: Camellia sinensis
Lineage: Eukaryota; Viridiplantae; Streptophyta; Magnoliopsida; Ericales; Theaceae
Source: RefSeq, a predicted model, not a curated record
UGAGUUGAAUGGAGAUUGGUCAAUUGUGCAGGGGCUCAAGAUCGAUGAGUUUUCAAGGGGAAAGAUGGAUGCCACGGCAGAAGAGCUCAUGGAGGAGAAAUCAUUGGCCUAUUCAUGCCUCAAGUGACAAACAUGCUCAGAUUUCCUUCGAAGAACAAAACACAAUAGAGAGGGAUACCAAUAAAUUCAUGAAAUUUUAAUUUGGUUAUGCAAUUAAUAAGCUGCCUGCCCUGGUGAUGCAGUGCUCUGUCAGAGUUUCUAACUCUCAUCUCUCUCUCAUCAAAAUAUGUAUGUUUUGGUAUAUUGAUGUUCUCAAUGUGAUUUGGUAUAUUUACGUUCUCAAUGUGAAAGCAUGUUGUUUCAUAACAUCA